AUUGAACGCUGGCGGCAGGCCUAACACAUGCAAGUCGAGCGGAUGAAGGGAGCUUGCUCCUGGAUUCAGCGGCGGACGGGUGAGUAAUGCCUAGGAAUCUGCCUGGUAGUGGGGGAUAACGUCCGGAAACGGGCGCUAAUACCGCAUACGUCCUGAGGGAGAAAGUGGGGGAUCUUCGGACCUCACGCUAUCAGAUGAGCCUAGGUCGGAUUAGCUAGUUGGUGGGGUAAAGGCCUACCAAGGCGACGAUCCGUAACUGGUCUGAGAGGAUGAUCAGUCACACUGGAACUGAGACACGGUCCAGACUCCUACGGGAGGCAGCAGUGGGGAAUAUUGGACAAUGGUCGAAAGCCUGAUCCAGCCAUGCCGCGUGUGUGAAGAAGGUCUUCGGAUUGUAAAGCACUUUAAGUUGGGAGGAAGGGCAGUAAGUUAAUGCCUUGCUGUUUUGACGUUACCAACAGAAUAAGCACCGGCUAACUUCGUG
RNAcentral lists this ribosomal RNA (484 nucleotides) under uncultured bacterium. Its description in RNAcentral is "partial 16S ribosomal RNA". It matches the Rfam family "Bacterial small subunit ribosomal RNA", at positions 30 to 507 of the family's 1533-position model. The record is from RNAcentral.